Molecule: transfer RNA, 63 nt
Filed under: Ochthebius colveranus
Lineage: Eukaryota; Metazoa; Arthropoda; Insecta; Coleoptera; Hydraenidae
Description: tRNA-Gly
Source: RNAcentral
AUUUAUAUAGUAUAAAAAUUAUCAUUGAUUUCCAAUCAAAAGAUCUAGUUUCUAGUAUAAAUA